This 454-nucleotide ribosomal RNA is filed under the name Engaeus nulloporius. RNAcentral's name for it is "partial 16S large subunit ribosomal RNA". It matches the Rfam family "Archaeal large subunit ribosomal RNA", at positions 2009 to 2660 of the family's 2987-position model. The record is from RNAcentral. Lineage: Eukaryota; Metazoa; Arthropoda; Malacostraca; Decapoda; Parastacidae.
CGCGGUAUUUUGACCGUGCGAAGGUAGCAUAAUCAUUAGUCUUUUAAUUGGAGGCUUGUAUGAAAGGUUGGACGAGAAGUUAGCUGUCUUUAUUAAAAAAAUAGAAUUUAACUUUUAAGUGAGAGGGCUUAAAUAUUCUAAAGGGACGAUAAGACCCUAUAAAGUUUGACAUCUUAUUAUUAGAGAGUGAAGUAAGUAGAUAAAAUUAGUUAGUAAAAAUGUUGUUUUGUUGGGGAGACUGGAAUAUAAAUGAUGUAACUGUUUUUAUAUUGACACAAAAAUGUUUGAGACUUUAGGUUGAACCUUGUUAAAGAUAAGAGAAUAAAUUACUUUAGGGAUAACAGCGUAAUUUUUUUUGAGAGUUCUUAUCGACAAAAAAGUUUGCGACCUCGAUGUUGAAUUAAGGGUGCUUUAUAGCGCAGAGGUUAUAAAAGAAGGUCUGUUCGACCUUUAA